GGACUACUCGGGUUUCUAAUCCUGUUUGCUACCCACGCUUUCGUAGUUGAGUGUCAGUUGCUGUCCAGUUCGCCGCCUUCGCCUCUGGUAUUCCUCCCGAUCUCUACGCAUUUCACCGCUACACCGGGAAUUCUGCGAACCUCUCCAGCACUCUAGUAAUAAAGUUUCCAAGGCACGUCCUGAGUUGAGCUCAGGGAUUUCACCCCAGACUUUUAUUACCACCUACCUACCCUUUACGCCCAAUAAUUCCGAGCAACGCUUGCACCCUUCGUAUUACCGCGGCUGCUGGCAC
RNAcentral lists this ribosomal RNA (292 nucleotides) under uncultured bacterium. RNAcentral describes it as "partial 16S ribosomal RNA". The record is from RNAcentral.